GUAGUAAUGCUUGUAGGCCGGCCUUUCAGUAAAUAGUAGCUUGUUCAUUUAAUUUGAUUAUUAUGUUCGUGUAACCACCUAUGGCUUCUGUCGGUAGUUAUACUAUUAUUGGUAUCCUAUAUAUCCUUCUAAUGUAUAGUCAGACUCCCUUUUGUAAUCAUGACUAGCAUUUUCUUGCUUGGAAAAUAAAGCACAUGCGUUGAGAAGUAUUAUUCCGUAGUGUCUACUGGCAAUUUUUCGACAAACGGAAUAUAUUAAUAUCGCGGAGAUACCAAUUACACCUGGUCUCUGCAACAAUGCAAUGUCGUAAAGACAUUACGGAUGCACAUAGCUGAAAGAUAAUAAUUCUUUGAAUUACCAAGUUUUUUAACCACCACCAUAUUUUUUCGAAAAUGUGAACAUUGCUCCAAUUUGUGUAUAAUUUAAAAAGGAAACAUUCUCUUACAUUUGUGAACAAUUUUUCAAAAUCAUACGAUGAGAUGUGAACAAAAUGUGGUCAUAGCCAUUCAAGAUUUUUUUUUUCCUCCCGUCGAAACGCACGUGCUUUUUGCUACUUCAUUUAAUUUGAUUAUGUUUGUGUAACUACCUAUGACUUCUAUCAGUAGUUAUACUAUUAUGGGUAUCAUAUAUAACCUUCUAAUGUAUAGUCUGAUUCCCUUUUGUAAUCAUGACUAGCAUUUUUCUUGCUUGAAAAAUAAAGCACGUGUGUUGAGAAGUACUCCCUCCGUCUCAAAAUUCUUGUCUUAAAUUCGUCGUCUGGAUACGGAUGUAUCUACUACUAAAACGUGACUUGAUACAUCAUAUUUUUUGAUAAUUCCGCGGUGUCUAUUGGAGCAAUUGUCUUAUUCCGUGGUGUCUAUUGGCAAUUUUUUGAUAAAGAGAAUAUAUUAACAUCGCAGAGAUACCAAUUAUAUCCAGCCUCUGCAACAAUAUUAAUGCAAUGUCGUGCAAAGAGGGACAAUGGUAUCCUCAGCCCACCAGGAUUCAAGUCCUGGUG
This 997-nucleotide long non-coding RNA is filed under the name Triticum aestivum (bread wheat). RNAcentral's name for it is "long non-coding RNA (TAES_LNC023598)". The record is from RNAcentral. Lineage: Eukaryota; Viridiplantae; Streptophyta; Magnoliopsida; Poales; Poaceae.